Long non-coding RNA from Pan paniscus (pygmy chimpanzee), 581 nucleotides. Lineage: Eukaryota; Metazoa; Chordata; Mammalia; Primates; Hominidae. The record is from Ensembl.
GCUGGCUGAAGUCGGUGUCAGUCACUAGAAAAUAACUGCACAGAAUUCUGGAGUUGGGAAGUUCACCAGGAGGAGUUGGCAUCGGGGCCAAUGACUUUGCAUGUGGCCUCUCUUCCGGGGGUAAGCACUGGCCAUGUUUGAGGAACCCACUAUACCAUGGCUUCUAGAUGAGGGGAUACCCUGAGCAGCCAGGUCCAGCCUGUCCAGCUAUGAAGAUGAGACCAGCCUGGGCUGUUAUAGAGUGGGAUCUAGGGCCUAGGAAUUUGAAAUCACACUUUCUUCAUUCUUUCUUCUGGAAACAGCUUUCCUCAUCACAAGAGAGAUAAGAUCCAAGAUGCAGGAUCAACUUGAUUGAAGGAAGUGAUAAGCUGUGUAAGUUGCUUGGUUCUAGCUAUAGACGAGUGAUUCCACACUUGCACGCUUAUGAGAAUCACCUAGGAAAGCUAUACGUCCGUGGAGAAAAAGAAACAAUAGGUGACUACAGUGGCCCACUUACCAGCAUCUGUCCCUGUCUCUCAUAGUCUGCCUUCCCUCCUUGUCUUAAUAUGUUUGUGCUGUUAUAACAGAAUACCCAAGACUGG